This 17170-nucleotide long non-coding RNA is filed under the name Homo sapiens (human). Its description in RNAcentral is "non-protein coding lnc-LAMA1-3:3". The record is from RNAcentral. Lineage: Eukaryota; Metazoa; Chordata; Mammalia; Primates; Hominidae.
AGCGGCUCCGGGUACCUGCUGAGCGGGUGGCUGGCUGCGGCGCGGGGCGCGCAGCGCGACUCGGCGUUGGGGGGCUGGGCGCGCGCGUACGAGUGGUAGGCGGUCAGCACCACGCCGCCCGAGUCCUCCACCUCCAUCGUCAGCCGCGCAUGUCUCGGCGCCGGCCCCAGAACAAAGACCGGGACCAGCAUGGACCGGCGCGCCGGGAGGCUGUCAGCAGCUGGGCGGCGCGGCCCGAGCCCUCUUCCAACUGGAGGCUUAUCCUGUGGCUGGGAACAUUUCCUGCCUGGCUGCGAGGAGUGAGACUAAGAAACCAUACCUCAGGCUGAGGAGAGAGGCCGGGUUUGAUAUGUGUGCUCUAGGGAAGAAAAGGAGAAAAUGUGACACUCUCUCAUUUAAAGCAUCCACAUCAAAAAUUGAAGAACUGGAUUACAUUGCUGUUUACUUAGUCAAGUUACAAUAAACUUGAUUUCCUUUUGGGUCAGGUAAUCCCCUUUUACAGCAAGGGAACGCUUCCCUCCCACACCCUCAGUGCGCCACUACCAGACUCUUACCUCACUCUCACAUCCCUUUCCUCCUCCCAAUCAUGAUCACAUUAACAGAUACCGUUUGCAGCUUGUCUGAAAAUUAGACUUUAUUAUUAUAAGCCAAAUGGGUGUUAUUUCCAGAAGUUACUGUUGGUGGGGGACGAUGUAGGGACUGGUUCGAGGUAGAUAAAAAGGGGCAUCAUUAGAAAUCUUGAGUCUGAAGUAUGUCCUUAUCCACAUAGGACUAAUAGCACAAAUGGAAAAACAACAUUCUUAUAGCUGAUUAAAAAGUAACCAGAAGUAUGCCUAGGAAGAGGCCCACGUGAAUGUUUUACUCACACGGACAAUGUGUUUUAUCUGCUGUCUCUUCCGUGCAUCUCUAGGAGCUAGACGAAGUGGAAAGACAAGUUAACCUAUCCCUUACUGGAGGGCAACUUGAUCAUGCUACUUAACAUCUCAGAAUCUCUGUUGCUGCAUCUGUGAAAUGGGGAAAAUAACGUUCAUCUCGUGGGAUUAAAGCAACAAGUACAUAUUAGGUUUUCAAGAAAUGGGGGUACUCUUUGCUCUUUACAUUCAACAAGAAGGGACACAUUUAUUUUCAUUGCACUUUCAGAGGUUGGGAAAACAAGUUUUUCAUCCAAAAUGCUUUUUAAAAAUGUUUUAUUAAUUAAAGGGGUGAGAUAAUAAUGACUAAAUUUGCUAACAUACUUAUGUGUUAGAUGGUGUACAUUAGCUGUUUAAACAAUUCUAUGAGGUAGGUAGUAUUAUUAUCCCAAUUUUAUGGACAAAGAAACUUACUAAGCAUGAGUGUAUGGAAAAGACACAUACAAAGAAUGCUUUAUUCUCCAAAAUUUUCAGAUAAAAAGAGGCAUCUGUUUAUUUACUGUGCUUUAUGCCAAUGCAUAAAACUAAGACAAUACCUUCUUAAAAUGUGAAGUUAAAAAACCACUGUAGGUAUUGAUAUAUAUAUCCACAAUUCUUCAUCUAAAACCUUGGGAACAGAUACAUUUCAGAAAUUAUAUCCACUUUUUAUUUUUAAAUGAUAAUUUGAUACAUGCACCAUUUAAUAUAAAAACCCUCAGCCCAGUAAAUUUGGGACAGUACUGUACAUUUAAGUGUAUUAUUUCUGCAACAAAAAAAAAAUGAAUAUUGACUUUGAGUAGGAUAAAGUCUAUAGAUAGCCUCACAUUUGUUCAGGUUAGGUUUAUCACCCAAUAAGUUUUGGCACCAAACCUCAUAAAAGCUUGUAAUUUUUAUCUUACAGAAUUUUAGAAUUACCAUAAGGAAUUAUAGUAGUGGAACUUUUUCUGCGCAUGGAACAUUCUUCUUUUAUUUUUCUAAACUACAGACUCACAAUAUGAAAUACCUGCAGGGUCUUUUCUUGUAACCAUUUUGACCAUAACACGGCCUCUAGAUGCCCCGCGUUGCAGUAACGCCCCAUCCUGCCAGCUACGGAGCCCUCCUCCUCUUGUGAAUUCACAUUGUAGACACCCUGGUUUCACUUUGGACUCCUCCCUCCAAUCGAUGAUCAAAUCUGUCAUUUCUUCCUCAAAAUGUCUGCCAACCAUUCUUUGAAUUCCUACUGCUAAUGUCUUUGCCUUCUCGUCACCAUCUCCUGACUAGGUGGCUGCAAUCCUUCCUUCACAAAGAUUACUUUCCAUCAGCUUCCUCUUAAGCCCCACCCCCUUCAAAAUGCUGUUUGGAUGAUUUUCCUAAAAUGCAGAACAUCCUCUUCUCAAAAGCCCUCGAUUGUAACUCACUUGCUGCAAAUUGAAGUCCAAACUCCUUCGUAUGGCCUCUCCUUAAUCUAUUUUGAUCACCGAGUACUUCAUCACCCCAAAGGCCCUGUGGCCCACUUACACCAGCCUGUCCUGUGAUCUUACUUUGUCUUUGCCCCUACCUAUUAUUUCUUGUCUGGAAAUCCUGAAACACUCUAUAUAUACCACUAUAAAGCCUCUCAGGUGUUCCUAAUUCAAAGCAACCUUCCUUCUGCCCUUCUGUGGAAAUUGCUCUUACUUUCAUUGUAAUAAAUAAUUUCAUUCGACCAUGUAAUUAAAGCACAGUCAGCCAAACACUGUGCUGUGUGCAUUCUCCACGGCUGCGCCCACAUCAGAUGUUGCUAACAGAUCUUAGCAUUUUUUUCCACUGAGCCCAGAUAUGGCCAUGAAAGCUACCUCAAAAUAGAACCCCAAACCAGCAAGAUAGCUUUGAGAUGAAAACUACUUGCUAACUCAAGAUUGUAUUACUAUUUUCCAAAAAAUUAGUGUCUUUUACUAAAUUGUAAGCUACUGGAAGGGCUAGGGUCAUUUUUCUCUUUAUAGCCCAGAGCCUGUAGAGUUUUGCAGAGCAGGCAUUCAAUAAGGAAUAUUUGUUGAAAGAAUGAACAUAUGAAUCAAUGAGUGAAUCAAUGAACGAGAUAAUACUCUUUAGUGCAGUAGUUUCAACCUUGCAGAGUAGGCAAGUGUAAGGGUCAAAGAGAAACUUCUUUGCCCUCGGAAGUUUCACCGAAAAAUUAACUCACAGAAAUCAGAUUAAUUGGAGAAAAGGCAUAAAAAUGUAUUUAAUGUGUAAACACAGGAUCCUUCAGAAUGAAGACCCAAAAGUAUAUGGGAAAUUGUCAAUUCUUAUGCUUAGUUUCAACACAGUAUGGAGAGCCAUGCAGAAAUAUGAUUGGACAAAAAGAAUAUUAUCUAAUGCUAAGAGACUAAGUGGAGAAACCCAGCAAAGCCUGUCUGUCUUGAUCCUUCUUGGCCUCUCUGAGCAUGCAUUUCUUCCUUCAGGGUAUGCGACAGGACUCUCUCUAGAAUGGGGGUCUUAUAAUCUGCAGUCAAACAAGUAGGUCAGAUAACUUCUUUAUGGCCAAUUUUUACACAGAACAAUGGAGGAAAAAGUGGGGUAAUGUUUUCAGGUUUUAUGGCCGUCUUUGGGGAAAAAAAGGUUCUGGUUUCUAUGACCCACCUUGAAAAAGAGAGAUUCUAGUUUCUAUGGCUAGAAGAUGAGACUGGGAGACUAGGAGCAAAAAGGUCAGGAAAAAAAAAAACAAAAACACAAAAAACAAAACUUUUGCCUUUGAGACUACCCCAAGACCCUCAUUUUGUUUUCUGAGCCCCAAUACCAAAUUGUUUUCUGAGCCCCCAUACCAAAGCAUUAUUAUAAAUGACUCAUAAGUCUCUAUGGCACUGAAACUGCAAACCAAAAAAAAGUUGACGUGUGGCUGGGCGCAGUGGCUCACGCCUGUAAUCCCAGCACUUUGGGAGGCCAAGGUGGGCAGAUCACGAGGUCAAGAGAUCGAGACCAUCCUGGCCAACAUGGUGAAACCCCAUCUGUACUAAAAAUACAAAAAUUAGCUGGGCCUGGUGAUGCGCACCUGUAGUCCCAGCUACUUGGGAGGCUGGGGCAGGAGAAUCGCUUGAACCCGGGAGGCAGAGGCUGCAGUGAGCUGAGAUGGUGUCACUGCACUCCAGCCUGGCAACAGGGCAAGAUUCUGUCAAAAAAAAAAAAAAGCUGACAUGUAUGUAAUAAUAUUUUUCAAAUAUAUCUAUAUGCUGUUGACUUAAUAAAAUACAACUCUUUUAAGCAUUCUCGAGUUUUUGGCUUUUAGAAAGAUGGUAGAAUGCAUAUAUUGGACGUUAUAGAAUAUGCUACGCAGGCUAUUUCCAUUGGGCCUCCAGAUCCACUUGCCAACCUCACUACCCUGCUUGAUACCCUGGGUGGCUCACCGUGUGGUCUGCAUCUAUGAACUCCCUUGCCUCUGGCUUCAGGGACGGUUCACUAAAGAGAGGCACCAGCAGAAGAUCUAGAGGGAGAGGGAGUAAGGUUAGGUACUGACUUCCCAGGCUUCUUUGCUAUUUUGCUGCACGUUAGAUCCUUCUACCUAUCACUCCUGACUGCAACCCUCUGCUAUGCUGCUUUCUCCAAAUUCAGGUAACUCCUACCUCUACCUGGCCCUCCUGAUCCUGGGGUGGUGACAGCUCCUGGUGCAUGUGGUACUCACUCCUUCUGCUGUUCUGCCGCAUCCCUUAUUAAGGAUUCCUUCGCUCCAGCCAUGCCUUUAUAAAUAGUCCCUUUAAUAAACUCUCUUUAUUCACCUGGGCUGAGUGCCCCAUCUCUUUCUGCCAAGACCCUGACUGAUAUGUAUCCCGCUGCCCCAGGAUGUGGGGCAGUGUCCCUCACACUAUGAGGGUCAAAUACAAAUUAUAAAUAGCCUCAUGUCAGUUCAGAUGUUUUGUCACUGAAAAAGUUCAGGCCUGAACAGGUCUUGCGGUCAAAUGAGUUAUGAAAAAGGAUUCAAAUUUGAGAGUUUCUGAAUUUCAAAAUUCAGACUUGAUAGAGUCUGUUAACAUUUUUGGCAUUCCAAACAAUGCUGGAAUCCAGUGUGCUAGGGGAUGACAGCACAGGGCUGUGACAGCUGGCCAGGCAGUGGAGUAAAUGGUGGCCCUGGAGAAGCUAAGCUUGAAACUUGCCCAACACUGGAGAGUGGACAUGUAGACAGCAUUUUCAGUUUAUUUGGAGUAAGGGCAAAGAUAGAGGGAAACUUACAGUUUCCUGUGCUGUCCUACUCUGGAUGUCAUACAGUGCCCAGCACUGAACUGGGAAUCGAGAGACUUGGAUGUCAGUACCCACUCUGCCACCAACAUGACACCCCAAGAAAGUCACUGAACUGUAGACCUGUUUUUUUCACAUGCAAAAGAAAUAAAACAGCCUACAUGUAUUGAACAUUUACCAUGUCCCUGGUUCUGUUUAAGACAUCAGAACAUCAACUCAUGAGAGGCUCACAGCAGCCUUUGAGGUGAGAUAAGUAUCACUGCUGGCAGCUCCAUGUUACAGUUGAAGAAACUGGCUGUAGUAACUUCCCAAGGCUACCCACGUCCUACGCAGGCUAGGAGGUGGCAAAGCCAGUAUUCAAACCCAGGAAAUCUGGCUCCUGAAUUUAGGUCCUUAAUUAUUAUAUUUCUCUUUUAUGAAAGGUUUGAUGAGAUUCAAAAUAUAUUCCUCUAGUAAAAUGUAAAGAAACAAGUAGGAUUUGAUUUAUGUUUCUUUAUGGUAGCUUUACAUAAACCUAUUUAGUACACUAGAGGGUAAAUAAUCACUAGCAUGUAAUGAUGAUGAUGAAAAUAAUAAGGAAGGGAGUCACAUGUAUUCUUAAGGCACUAUACUAAGGUAGUUCAAAAUUACUAAGGCAGAAUUAUUGUUUCUUAAUAUAUGUGUGUGUGUGUAUAAUUAUUGUCAUCAACUACUCUUACAAUGUGUUGAAGGAUAAUUCAGUUUUUCAUUCUGCCUUGUAAAUUUGUCAGUGGAUACAUAUAAAUAAGGCAUUAGAGAAUAGUGAAAUAUGUAAUCACAAGUGCACAAAGAUUGCACUUUCUAAAUAAACUGGAAGCAGAGUGGUAGACAAAAGAGAGUAAGACAGAGUUGAGUUUGAGCUUGAUUAUGAUUUACUAUUUACUGGCUGUGUCACCUUAAUUUCUCUCUUUUUCCAUUUCCUAAUUUGAAAAACAGAGACCAGUAAUAUCUCCUCAAAGAGUUGAUGGGAAGUUAAAAUGAGAUCACAUCUUUAAGACACCUAUCCCAGUACUAAGCAUAUGCUAGAUGUUCAGAUGUUGGUUCCCUUCUCUGUCUUUCACUCUCCCUUGUCAGCUGUCCUCUGUCUCAGCCCUUCCAGAAGUACGAUUUGAGUUCAACCCUCAAGAGUAAAGAAUCUGGACCCAGGAUUCCAAAGGUUUUUCACAACCUUUGCUGAGAGAUAAGUCACAUUCAAUUUAUGUGAUGAAACCUACCUGGGGAGGCCUCACAAACACUGGCCCCCAAGUGCCACCAGUUGCAUGGACUACGAAAUAUGGAGAUAUUCCAUUUAAACCCAUCAGGAAAGGCAAGAAAACAAAACAUUUAUGCAAAACUUUAACAUGGACAAAGGAAAAGUGCUUCUUGUGGCCUUGGCUGCUUAUCUGGCAAAAUUGCUGCUAGGAUAAUUUCAUACCAGAACAGGAAAACAGCUGCAGCCUCAUGAGUCCUUGCAGAUGCUGACUGACAUUCUCUUAGCAAGAAGGGUUGAGGGAACAUAGUCACUGGCCCUAUCUUGCAGGAAAUGAAGGCACAAUUCUUACCUACCAAAGAGAACAUGCGAAUUCUGCUUUCAGAACUCCACCUGGCAGGGUGGGGUGGCUCACGUUUAUAAUCCCAGCACUUUGCGAGGCAAGACACAGGAGGAUCGCUUGAGCCCAAGAGUUUAAGACCAGCCUGGGCAACAUAUGGAGACCCCAUCUCUACAAAAAAUUUAAAAAUUAGCUGGUGUGGUGGUGUGUACCCUUAGUCCCAGCCACACAGGAGGCUGAAGUGGGGAGAUUGCUUGAGCCUGGGAGGUUGAGGCUGCAAUGAGCCAUGAUCGCACCACUGCUCUCUAACCAGGGAGAUAGAGCAAGACCCUGUCUCAAAGAAGAGACCAACAAACAAAACAAACAAAAAACCCUUCAUCUUACAUACAUUAUCAGUGCCCUCAAGUCCUCUGGAAAGACUGGUUUAAAUUAGAGGGAAUGAAUACAAAGUUGCAUUUAUUUUAUAUAAAGAGAAAAUAAUGAGACAAAUAUUUUAAAAGGUAGUGUGUAAAUCUUUCAUCAUCAAGUCAGUUGGUAAAUCUUGAUCUGCUACUCUGAAAUAUUUUUCAAAAUGUAUUGGCACUACUUGAGUUAAAUUUAUUUUCUGGGUGCUCUCAUGAUGACACAGAAUUUCUAGACUACUCUGAUUUUCCUAUUGCUUUCUUAGUAUCUAUUUUUAAAGAGAAAUCAGGGCUUAUUUUUCUUCAUUAACUGUUUUGGGAUCUUUGAUCAAUUUGGUAAUUGGGUUAAGUAGAUUAUGUCACCACGAGAGCCAGCCAGCCAGGUCAAGACUUGUGUUAUUUAUGUGGUAGACAUAACUGAAUUACUUAAGUGACUUCUACAGAUAAAUUGAAUCAUUAUUGAUUGGAAAUGAAUCACUACUAAUAGACCCAGGCAGGGUAGAGGAAAGGAACAGACCAGCCAUAGCAUAAAGUUUUAGUCAAAAAGUACUUACAAUAUGGAAUAUUUCCUGCAAUACCAUGUUUUUACAAUUACAUAAAGGCUUUAUUCAUUCAUUCAUUCACUCUUCCAUGUAUCCAUCCAUCUAUCCAUCCACCCACGCAUCUACCCCAAGAACUUACAAUUAUCACUCAUACCUACAAUGCCAAGCACCAAGAAUAUGAAGAUGAAUAGGAACAUGAAAGCACAGACUAACUGGGUCUCUGCAAGCGGGGAAGAGAUUGGUGUAGGAGGUCAUCAAAUAACACACUUCCCCAGGAGGUUAUGUUAGAGAUGCUCUUAAAAGAUGAAUGACACUUGGCUAGCUCACAAGUAGGUGUGUGUGGCUGAGGCUAUGUAAGGAAGGGCAUUCCAGAGGCAGGUAACAGAUGGAAACAAGGCACAGGGAAAAAAAGACAGUGAAGUAUGUACAGGGAAACCCUUUUAGUUUAGCUUUGCUAGAGAGUAAAGUGUAAGGGAGAAAACCCUGGAGACAAAGCUGGAGACAGGCAGAGGCCAGGCCCUGGUGCAUCUGAAUGCCUUGUGAGGAGUUUAAACUUUAUCCAAGAGUUCAGAUGGGGAAUCCACUGAUGGUGUCAAACAAGGUAGCACCAGAAUCAGCUUAUGCUUUUAGGCAUCCUCCUGGGCUCUGCACCACCUGGUCUUCACUCAGCUCUUCUGACCUACAUCUCCUAGGCCUCCCAACCUUUUUGGGAGAAGAGUGUACACUAGAGUCUGAGGCAGAAGAAAACCAACUAUAAAUGGUCACAUGCUAAGUCCCAAAUUGAAUCCUAAGACAAAGUCCAAGAUGAGAUAAAUGGAAUUUAAAUAGCUAUUGAAAAGACGUUUAGCUUAAAGAAUUACACAGGUGUCUUGGAGGGGAAGCUCGGGAAAGGACCCUGACAAUCCCCUCUCUGUCACUAGCUCGUGAUUACAGAUCAGCUGCCUGCUUUGUUCUGGUUCACCUGGGGAGGGACAGACCACCUGACCUGGCAAGUGAUGGGGUGAGCACAGUAGGAGACAGUGAAGGAAGUAGAAGACAGUGAGAGGCUUUGGGACAUGCAGUAUGCAGGUCUGCCAACAAAGAGGGAAGGUUUAUUAUGAUCAUUCUUGGAUUGGAAACCAAAGAAACAAUUCUGAUUAACCAAAACAAAGAACAAUGUUUUACAAAGAUCUGAGAAACAGCACAGGAUUGAAGAUCAAAACUGAAAGACAACUCUUGGAGCAGGAAUGAGAACACAAUCUUGCCAGGGUGCUUCUUACAAAAUUAACAAAUUUUAACUUUUUCUUCUAUCCUUGCUUCCCUCUUCUCAGGAAACAGGGUACCAGAAUUGCAUCAGAUUGGCUGUGGUUAAGCCUCCACUUGGCAGUCACUGAGUCUUAAGAGAUGUGGUCUUCAGGGACUGCCUUCCCUGCUGUUAAUGAUAAGACAGGCCCCAAGAUCACAUACCAUGAGGGAGAAAGUCCCUAAGUUGAUACCUUGGAGAUUUCAGGUAGCAGGAAUAGAAGCCAACACAUUAACAGUAUUUACUAGAGCAGGAUUUGGUGAAGCCUCAGGGAGGCAGGGCUCACCUGGAAGCACUGAAAAAAGGCAUAAUCAGGACACAGAUGGUAAAGAUUUCCAAGAUCUGGAAAGGGAAGAGGUUCUUGCAGAGGGUGAGAUGAAGUGAUGCACAGGGAAAGAAUGCACCUGCCCAUUUUGCAGUUGUGCCUCCACAUGGCCCUGAAUAAGGAGGGGGUAACUGCCUGACAAAGUUGAUAAAUCAAACAAACCUGGGAUUUUUGUGAUAAGAAUAGGAAGCUUCAAAUCCACAUCGGCUAACUCAGGCCUCAAAUGUGGCUGACUGCAUCAUUCAAGAAGACAUACAUGACCUGAACUGAGUCACCUGGAUCUGAAGAUGUCAAAAGUAUAAUUUGAAAGUAAGCUUAUACAAGGGGUGGUUAAAAUGGUGAAAGGCAGGGUUUGGAGCAAGACAGAUAUAGGAGUUGUGCUAUGUUUGACUGUGAGCAGUUACUUAAUCUCUCUGGGACCUGAUUUUUCUCAUCUGUAAAAUGAGAUGGUAAUACCUAUCACACAAAGUUGUUGGCCACGAUUUGAAAAGGAUAAGUUGUAAAACUGCUGUGUACAUAAUGCUAAACAAACAUAAGUUCUUUUUAUUAUGCUAUGCAUACAUGAAAUUGUUAUUUUACCUUCUACUUUGUUAGCAAUACCUAUUAGAGGAGAUUCCAGGGGAAUUCAAGAAAUUCUAGUCACCAUUAGUCAGCCAGUAAAUAUUUUUUAGUACACUCCAAAGACUAUAAAUAUUUCUACAGAAAAGGUCAUGACUGUGUUAACAUAAGUCAUAUUUUGAAACUAGGCAGAAUUAGGUAGAUAAUCAGAAAAUGGAUGUUUGUCAGUUGAAACAUUAUUCAGGGAUGUACCUAGUUAUUACUGAUUAUCGUUCGGCUCAAAAAAGUAUUGGAAAGCCUGAAUGUCUCAGUGUCACCAGGUCAGGACAUUGGCAUGGUCCUGAAGAGGACAUCUCCUCUCACAGCACCGGCAUUCCAGAUGAGGCAUUUAUGGGUGGGGUCUGAGCAGGCUACAGGCACACUCAGUAUAGCUUCUGCUACAUAGUAGGCUUAAAUAACCACUUCAUGAAUGAAGGAGCCCUCUCCCACUUAAUCCUCUGUUUCUACCUCUGUAAAAUGUAACUACAGUACUGUAGUUACUACAAAAUGAAACUAUAGGACUGACACUAGAAAAUGGAAGUACAGGACUGAUACCUUACUGUGGCUUUCUCAAAAUGUAUGAGAACUCAAAAAUCAUAGGACAGCAUGCCAAUGGGCCUCAAAACUUGAUUAUGUGAUGAUGUGUAAAUUGUGCCCAUGGAGUUGUGCAAUGUAGCCAGUUGGAAUGGUUUUGAAGACAGGAGUGUAAGGUGAAAUUAGACAGUUGCUGUAGUAAUAAAACUUCUGUUGCAGGGAGAGGACAAUUCUGAUCACUGCUCUGGCACCUGCUAGCCAAGAGAUCAUAGACUACUUUUGUCUGUUUGUAAUCCCUUCCUUUGGGGAAUCCAUACUAAAGCAAUUUAACCUCUGAGUGAGUCGGAAUAAUAUGAUAUUGGGAAAUACAAAAAGGAAGCAUGUGAAUAAACUUGGUAACGUUAUUUCACUGCAUUUGUAUCCCCAGAGUCCAUAAUAGUGUCUGCCAUAUGUGCUCUCAAGAAAUGUAUAAUGUAUAAACUCAUGUUUAACGUGUAAAUCAAUCAAUCAAUCAAUGAGUGGAGAGCUGCAUAUAGUAUCCUCCCCACCCCCUAGUACUGUAGUUUUAUAGUUAGGGAAGUAAUUACGGUAGUUUUUCCAUUCAAUGACUGCAGCCAAAUGACUCUCCUCAGGAAUGCCCCAGCAUUGAGCACAUUCCUCUUUGCCAGGGGACCUGGAGGUGAAAACCAGAAAAGGAGAGGGAAGUAGCUAGUUUGUCCUGUGUCUGUAGAAGAUAAUAGAUUCAAAAGAAUGGGGCAGGUGCAGAAAUAAAAAAAAUUAUGAAAGAAGUAGACUCUAAAUGUCUGAAGUUGCCUAGGUAAAUUGUUACCAAAUUACCUUUUGAUUUAUAUUUCAUUUGGAUCAGAUUUGGGAUCUGUAGAUAACAGGUAUUCAUAUAAUUUAGGAAAUGUACCAUUUUAUACCAUUGGCCAUUGAAAUAAAUUCAGAACAAAAGAUUUUAAAUUAUUUGAAGCACUGUGGUAAAGGGUGUAAUAAUUCUUUCUCAAGUAUCUCAUCAUCUUAGGCCUCUUUUCAGUCACUUCUAGAGAAUUUUUUAAAAACAGCCAAGCCUCAAGUGAUCAUUUAAUCCUACAUAUGAUGGUGAAAGAGAGAGACACAAUCAAGUCAUCAGGUCCAAACUAUGAUUCAUUAUUUCUUUGUAUAAAGGAACAAAAGUGUUACUUGUUUUUAGGGAACAAACUAUCAUAAUUCUUAGUAUCCAACUUUCAUUCCAAAUCCUCAAAGCUGUUUGUAAACAUAAACUCAUUUAUUCCCACCUACCAAGCACCACUCAGAAGGAAUUCUGAUGGCAUGAAGUUGUGAAAUAAUUACAAAUAUUGCAAUCAUAACUAUUUACUGAGGAUCCACCAUGAUAAGUAUUGUAUCAUUUACUCCUUACAUUGGAGGCUCAGAGAUGUUAAGUUACUUGUCCAGGUUCACAGUAUUAGUCUAGAGGAUUAAGAGGCAUCCUGGAGUAGUUAAGUCCCUAGACUCUGGUGCCAGACUACCUGGAUUGAAUCCCACCUAUAUCUCUUUUUAGGUCUGUGACCUUGGGCAAGCUAACAUCUCUGGGCUUCUGUUUCCCCUAUGCAAAGUGGAGAGGAUGGUAAGAGGAUGGCAAAAAUGGGACCUACCUCAUAGGGCUGUUGUGAGGACUAGAUGAGUCAGGUGCUUAGAACAAUACAGUGGCACCUAAAAGUGUCACGUAAGUGCUAGCUAUUGGUAUUAUUCUUGUGGUUGCAAGUAAUGAGAAUGCAACUCACACUAGCUUAAGCAGCAAAAGAAGAGGUGGCGGCGGUAUUUGCUUCAGACAUGCUUUACAACAGAGGCUCCAAUAAUGCUCUUAGGAGCCUCCCCAAUAUCUCAGCCUUAUUUCCCCUUGGCUUCCAGAUAUAUCAGACAGGCUGUGUAGUCACAAGGUGGCCACCUGCAGCCCCAGGGAUCCACUGUAUUUACAAAGAAAGAAAAAGUUCUUGUUACGAAGAUAUGGCACAGGUCCCAGGGAAGUGGCCUAGCUUGGGUCUCAUACCCAUUCCUGAACCCAGGCCAUAGGCCAGGCCAGGUCUGGGUCAUGUGAUAAGCUCUGAGACAGAAGGGCUGGGUUUGCCCAAUCCAAACCACAUGGCCUGAGGGCAGUACCUGUAUAAAGGCUCUCAGAGUGAUGCCCCAAAAAGGAGGGAUCAGGUAAAGACCAAACAUAUACGUAGUCUCAUGGCUAGCAGGUGACAGAGCAGAAAUAGGAAUUGUCCUCUCCCUCCAACAGAAGUUGUAUUACUACAACAACUGGCCAAUUUAGCCUUACACUCCUGACAUCAAAGUCAUUCUAACCAGGCUGCACUGCACAAAUCCAUGGGCAUAAUUUACACAGUAUCACAUUCUCUGGUUUUGAGCCGCAUUGGCACUGCUCUCCUGUAACUUUUGAGUCCUCACACUUUUUGAGAAAGCCAUAGUGAGGUAUCAGUCCUGUAGUUUCAUUUUCUAGUAACUACAGGACUGUAGAUACAUUUUACAUUUACAGAUGUAGAAAUUGGUAGAGUUGUCACAGGUGGAAUGGAGAAAUGGCUAAACCUUUGAUAUUCAGAUUUUGACUUCUGAGAUAAGCUCUUGAAGAACAUUCCAGAAACAUUAGUCAAGAAAAUUGGGCUUUCAAUAACCAGAGCUCAGCACUUGAGAUUUUCUAAAUUCUAAAAACUUCCCAUUAAGCCAGGCACUAUGGUAGGCAUUUGUAGUCCCAGAUACUCAGGAGGCUGAGGUGGGAGGAUCUUUUGAGCCCAGUAGUUCAAGGCCAACCUGGGCAACAUAGCCAGACCCCAUCUCAAAAAAAAAAAAAGCAAAAACAAAACAAAACAAAAAACCCCCCAAAAACCUUCCCAUUAACAUCUAGAAGCAAAGUUCAGAAGACUGAAUGUGGAGGCUUUUUAUCCACCAUGAGAAAGACUUCAGACAGUGAUGUCGAGAUCGCACCACUGCACUCCAGCUUAGGUGACAGAGCAAGACUCUGUCUCAAAAAAACAAACAAACAAACAAACAAACAAAAAACCAGACAGUGAUGUAAAGAGAAGGACAUUGUUGCUGCCACACAGAGGAAGUCUUGGAGAGAUGGCAAAGAGAGGAGUAAAGGAUACUUUGGGGGUCUGUCUUAGAGGAAGAGGAGCUGUCAAAUCUGCCCUUUCCUGGGUUUUAGGGUAAUAUGAGCAAUAGGUUUGAGGGCCUGAGGCUGGAGAAGCUUAUGUGCCAUCCCCAUCUGAAACUCUGGGAUGAGGCAGCCCUGCAGAGACCCUAAGAUGGCCUGUACCUCCUGGAAUCCUUCAUAAAUGCACAGACGGGAUCCAGAAUUUCCCAGGGCCCCCAGCAAGAACUGAAUGACAAACUCUCUGAGGAAUCACUAUUGUCCAAGAUGAAAUGACUUUGUGGCUGAGGGUCUCAGGAUUUCAUUGCCCAGGCCAGGAGUCAAAGAGUAGUUCUAGGCAGGCCAAGGGAGAUCCCUAGUGGGGACUCUAAUGAGCAGUGGGAAAUGCUGGAGUUCCUGAGGGGCACUGCUUAUGCUAAUAGAGGGAACAAGUAGCUCCACCAGCAGUGGGGGCAGUGUGGACAGAGCCCCCCAACCCCACCAAAGCUAAAGCAGAUGAGCAAAGGCUGGAGGACGGCAUCAUCCUUCGCAAUGUCACAUAAUGUACCCUGUGCCCAGGUACAACCUCAGGAGAUCGAGCAGAAGACAAGAAGCCACCACAGGGGAGAACAACUAUGAUAGAAACUUGGAACUUUGAUGAGCUUAAAUGCAAACUGAAUGAGUUCCUGAAAAAGCCUGCUUUAAAUCGGAGGAGACUGAGCAUCUUUGAGUGAUAGUCAUAGAGCUAAGUUGAGUUCAAGGAUAGAUGAAUACAGCUAUACUUUUUAUACAUCUGAUUUGUGACUAUAUUAGAAAGGUAAAACCUAUUAGAUGAAGAUGAAUAAGAUACAUAAAAUAAGAUAAAUUUAAAAAUAUGAUAAAAUCUAGCAGUGUGUUAUAAGGUGAGGCCAUGGAAGCCAGAAGUUUCUAUCUUAACAAAUUUUGCAUAUAAUUGGUAUUGACAUGUUAAUGAAUAAAUACAUUUCAUGCUUAUAAAUUGGGCCUAUGGGGCUAAAAUGAGAGUAGAUGAAGGCUAGGGCCAGAGGUGCUAACGUCCUACUUCAGAAAUGUGAUGCCAAUGGAGAAAAACAGAGUAGAGUGGGAUGAAAGCCCGGAAAAGGGCAAUCUAAUUAAGUGGAGAAUGAGGCUUUAUGAAAAGAAAUAUCAAGAUGAUAAAUCAAUCAAGAAAUGCAAAUUUUAACGGGGUACAGAUUGAACUCUAUCAGUUAAAAUAUAUAUUAAAAGAGUCAUCAGCCAUUAUUCAAUCCCACUCAAAAAAAAUUAAGAAGUGAGCUGGAGGACUCAGAGGUUUGAUUCAUUGUGCCAAUUUUUUUUUUGACCGAAUAAAACCCACGUGAUUUCAGAAGUGGCACAAUCCCAGGUAUUUGUGUGUAUUGUAUGUGCUACAGGGGUGGGCAGGGUUUGUGUUUACUGGUGUUGCCCAAGAAAUGUCCCAGCAAUAGGGCAUCUGUUUUCAGAACAGACACCAGUCAAGAUAAGGUUUUCUCCAAAACAUUUUAAAACAAGAUACUGAGAGAACCCAGAUGAAGUGGUGGAAGAGUACCCAUUCCCCAGUGAAACCACAGUAUAGGGGAACUGUCCACAUGGAGCAUUCAUAGAAAAGACUCAAAGAGCUACAAACUGACACAGCCUCCCCUUGGACGGACAAGGCUCAGGACUCAGAGUAGGCUUUGGGCAAAUGUUUAAGAAACGGAUUAAUUUUGUACCAGAGACUUUGACCCAAGAAGCAGACAUCUCAGGACAGAGCAGAUUUUGAGUUAUGGCAGCAAUGUGUGGCAUGCAGCAGAAAAAGUGGCUGGAGCCAGCAAUGAAUCACAAUGGAUAAAGCACUGUCAUCAGUUCCUCAGUGAGGAAGAAACAGAUACCUGCAUAAAACAUUCUCUGCCUCCUUUAUAGUUAAUUUUCCAUGUACUAAAUCAUAUGGAGAUCUUAUUAUAGAGUGUGGAUUUAGUCAUCCUCAAUAAAUGCUUUUGAUGCUUCCAUAAACAUCCAAGUUAAAUAUCCCUCUUUGCAUGUAUUCUGACUGGUUAUUAAAAUCAGGUGUCUGGUAAAGAAGCACUUGCAGGAUUCUUCUCUUUUUGAUGAGUACACUAAAUGGGCUAUAUUUAUUUAUGCCUCUAACGCUCCCAUUCCCUAUCAUCUUUCCAAGUGUGCAAUCUCACAGUGGUUCUGAAUCUCCUGUGUACCUAGGCUGGGGAUGUGGCUUCCUCCGUGUACUGCUCCUGUACAAGUCAUCAUAGAAGUUCCCCAUAGUUGUGCCAGUACUGUGCUGAAGGUGGGUUGUACAGGCUCUGAAGGGCUGUUUGUUUUGUUUUCACUCUUAGAGAGGACAUUUAUCUCUUUAUUGAAGAAAUAUGUACUUUCUGGACUCUGCCUAUUGGCCCUUGUUGCUUUUCAUAAUUUAAAGAGAGCUUGGCUUCAAGACUGCUACAGAAAAGAGAAAGCAGUAAUAAUCAAUUUAUUUUUUUACAGUUGAGUGUUUUUAAGGAUGAAUAUGCACAUAUCACAUUAUCUGUGCUAAUCAAGAAAAUCAGUGUGUUGAUCCAAAACUUACUAGCUGUGGCUUUGAAAUUAUUUUCACACAUUUGAAAAAAGAUUGAAGUUUGUGAUGUUUACAAGAAAAUAAUACCUUUUUUUCUUUUUACUUUUUAAGAGAACAAUAUAGCUCACUGGUUAAGGGCACAGAUGGAAGAACCAGAGUACCUGUAUUUAAAACCCCAAACUGCAGCCUACUAGCUCUAUUAGUUGUUUAGAUAACCUCUCUGUACUUCAGUUUCUUGACCUGUGAAAUGAGCAUAAUAAUUGAAUCUAUUGCAUUGAGUUGUUGUGAUAAUUAGGCUGGUUGAUAUAUCUGAAGCAUUUAAAACAGUGCUUGGCACACAGUGAGUGCUGUAUAAGGUUUGACAUUUUAAUCACUACCAUAUUACCACCACUGCCACCAUCACUACAAUUGCUGCUGCUGCACCUGCACAAUGUAGUGAAUUCAACUGACCUAGAGUUAGUAAAAGUAAACAGUGAAAAAAAUCCUGACCUUAGAUUCACUCUGGUGCAGAAAAAAUUAACUUACCAGAGAUCAUACAACUUCCAUGUUAAAAUUGAAAGCAGACGUUACAUCUCCUGUAAAUAUAUUCUAUUGUUAAGUUGAAUGGCUUCUUUCUGAGCUAUUGUACUUGAAUACAUAUCUUAGUUAAUUAAGCAGUCAUCAAUUUCCAGAUGCUAUAUGGGUCUUUUAUGAAAAAGAAUGCUUUUCUUGGCUGAGCACAGGGGCCUGUAAUCCCAGCGCUGUGGGAGUCCAAGGCAGGAGGAUUGCUUGAGGCCAGUUCAAGACUAGCCUGGGCAACAUAGACCCUGUCUGUAAAAAAAAAAGUCAGCCAAGCCUGGUGGUGCAUGCCUGUAGUUGCAGCUACUUGGGAGGGCAAGGCAAGAGGAUGUCUUGAGCCCAGGAGUUUGAGGCUCCAGUGAGCUAUGAUUGUGCCAGUGGACUCCAGCCUGGGUGAUACAGUCCCUGUCUCUUAAAAAAAAUAAAAAGAAGAAGAAGAAAGAAUAUUUUUCUCCUGCUACAGGUGUAUUGUCCAACAUGGCAGCCACUAGGCACAUGUGUCUAUUGAGCAUUUGACGCAUAACUAGUGCAUACUGAGAUAUGCCGUUAAGUAUAAAAGCACAUGCCAGAUUUGAAAGAUUUCAUUUGAAAAUAACAUAAAAAUGCACCAUUAAAAUUUUUCCAUUGGUUACAAGUUUAA